Small nucleolar RNA from Ornithorhynchus anatinus (platypus), 138 nucleotides. Lineage: Eukaryota; Metazoa; Chordata; Mammalia; Monotremata; Ornithorhynchidae. The record is from RefSeq and is a predicted model, not a curated record.
CUCCUCUCAGGUUCACACCUGGAGAGUUUCUAAUACUCUACCAGUCUCGACUACAAGAGGGGGAGUCAAGCAGAGCCAUGCCCAUUCCAUUCCUAGUUUGGCCAGUGGCUAGCAAGUGGAAGGCAAUCUGCUAUAAGU